AGGGUCUGUGAUAGUCUAUCAAGAAAAGCUCUGAUGGGACGGGGGGCUUUGCCCCCCACAAUGAAAGGGAGCAGAAAAGGGAGCAAAGUCCCACACAAUACCCCAAACAGAUCUUUUUAUCGUUACCGUUAAAAUAACUGCCUCAUCACCCCAAAAGGGGGGAAACUUAAAACAGGAGGCAAUGCUACCAGGGGAGCACAGAACUUUUUUCUGUCAAAAUGGUAGCUCUGUACGAAAGGGGAAAAAUAGAAAAUAAAAACGCAAAAGAUUUCAAAGAGAAGGACUAGAAGAGACACCAGGAGAAAAUGAAAAGAGGACGAUGAAAAUGGAAACCGGUCAGUUAAGAGAGGAAUCUAGACGAUUCAAAGCAGAAAAAACUACAAGUAAUUCACCAGUGCAGACGACUAACGUUGGUUAGGGGGCAGAUGAGGUGAACCGAAAAGCAGCAAGUGGAAAACAGGCCCGUGACAGGAAAAGUGGGAAGGAUUAGCCGGCCCUGCAAAAACCCUUCAAAACAAGAGGAUUGAGCAGCGGAGAAACCAUGGCAGCCUUUCUUAUAGCCGGCUGCUCAUGGCUUGCGGACAAUGACGGCUCUUCAAAUCUCCUGCUGCCACAGACCAAACCAUCAUAAGAUUGAGCAGCGGAGAAACCGCGGCAGCCUUUCUUAUAGUCAGCUGCUCACAGCUCGCGGCCAAUGACAGCUCUUCAAAUCUCCAGCCACCACAGACCAACCCAUCAUAAGUAAAAGUAUGCAAAUAUAUAACAGCUUGUGUGGGUAUUUCAGACAGAACUGGUGAAGUUGUAGUGCAUAAUAUGCUUUGCCAUUUUGUAAAAUUGUAUCCAGAUAGCCCAUCAAAUGAAACAAAUAUUUAAGCCUACCCAUUCAGCAUUUAGAAUCCAAAAUAAACCCCACUUUAUACUCUUUUCAAUUGAAGGAAAACCCCCCCCCCAAGAAUAAAAUAUUUUGAGGAAUAUUUAAAAAGGCAGACUAUUAUAUUUCCC
This 1002-nucleotide long non-coding RNA is filed under the name Laticauda laticaudata (blue-ringed sea krait). RNAcentral describes it as "lncRNA (ENSLLTG00000003296.1)". Lineage: Eukaryota; Metazoa; Chordata; Lepidosauria; Squamata; Elapidae. The record is from RNAcentral.